RNAcentral lists this ribosomal RNA (325 nucleotides) under uncultured eukaryote. RNAcentral describes it as "partial 18S ribosomal RNA". It matches the Rfam family "Eukaryotic small subunit ribosomal RNA", at positions 1470 to 1796 of the family's 1831-position model. The record is from RNAcentral.
CCCUUAGAUGUUCUGGGCCGCACGCGCGCUACACUGACGAAUGCAACGAGCUUAUAACCUUGUCCGAAAGGUCUGGGUAAUCUCCAAAUUUCGUCGUGAUGGGGAUAGAUUAUUGCAAUUAUUAAUCUUCAACGAGGAAUGCCUAGUAAGCGCAAGUCAUCAGCUUGCGUUGAUUACGUCCCUGCCCUUUGUACACACCGCCCGUCGCUCCUACCGAUUGAAUGACUCGGUGAAAUCCCCGGACUGCAGCCUUGACACCCUCGGGUGACUCGGCAGUGGAAAGCGGAUUAAACCUCGCCACUUAGAGGAAGGUGAAGUCGUAACA